Molecule: ribosomal RNA, 253 nt
Filed under: uncultured bacterium
Lineage: Bacteria
Description: partial 16S ribosomal RNA
Rfam family: Bacterial small subunit ribosomal RNA
Source: RNAcentral
UACGUAUGGUGCGAACGUUGUUCGGAAUCACUGGGCAUAAAGAGCACGUAGGCGGUUAAGCAAGUCCAUUGUGAAAUCCCCCGGCCUAACCGGGGAACUGCAUUGGACACUACUUGACUUGAGUGCAGGAGGGGAGAGUGGAAUUCCAGGUGGAGCGGUGAAAUGCGUAGAUAUCUGGAGGAACGCCGGCGGCGAAAGCGACUCUCUGGUCUGUAACUGACGCUGAGGUGCGAAAGCUAGGGGAGCAAACGGG